CGACCUAUGGUGCAGAGGGAGCAUAUUGGACUCUGAAUCCAAGGACGCAGGUUCGAUUCCUGCUAGGUCGG
RNAcentral lists this transfer RNA (71 nucleotides) under Naegleria gruberi. Its description in RNAcentral is "tRNA-Gln (CTG) (tRNA-Gln-CTG-2-1)". It matches the Rfam family "tRNA". Rfam says of the family: Transfer RNA (tRNA) molecules are approximately 80 nucleotides in length. Their secondary structure includes four short double-helical elements and three loops (D, anti-codon, and T loops). Further hydrogen bonds mediate the characteristic L-shaped molecular structure. tRNAs have two regions of fundamental functional importance: the anti-codon, which is responsible for specific mRNA codon recognition, and the 3' end, to which the tRNAs corresponding amino acid is attached (by aminoacyl-tRNA synthetases). tRNAs cope with the degeneracy of the genetic code in two manners: having more than one tRNA (with a specific anti-codon) for a particular amino acid; and 'wobble' base-pairing, i.e. permitting non-standard base-pairing at the 3rd anti-codon position. Lineage: Eukaryota; Heterolobosea; Eutetramitea; Acrasida; Naegleriidae. The record is from Rfam by way of RNAcentral.